This is a long non-coding RNA of Uranotaenia lowii, 354 nucleotides long. RefSeq lists it as uncharacterized. NCBI's taxonomy places the organism in Eukaryota, Metazoa, Arthropoda, Insecta, Diptera, Culicidae. The record is from RefSeq and is a predicted model, not a curated record. The transcript has 3 exons.
AUUAAGAGUGUAGCUGUCAAACGCGCACGUGGAAAAAAACAACACAAACAAAGAUCAACAAAACAACAUCAACGUACAAAAACAAUCAACGCAAGAAAACGUUUAGGCGGUAAGAUUCGCCAUCGCGCAUUAAAUCAACAGUGCCCGCAUUCGUUUGAUGUCCCAGAGCUUUAGUCAUCGAAUAAGGAGGAUAUUCCGGAGCUACUUGAUGAAAAGCUCAGCAGGCGACGGAUUGAGUGAGACGAGGCAACAACCGACCGAGCCAGCUCCUACAGGUGACAAUCCCAGCGGAAACAACGGUUGAAGUUAGCGUUGAGAAGGUGGAGAAAGAAAUUGAACACGAAAGAACAAUCG